Molecule: long non-coding RNA, 252 nt
Filed under: Salvia miltiorrhiza (redroot sage)
Lineage: Eukaryota; Viridiplantae; Streptophyta; Magnoliopsida; Lamiales; Lamiaceae
Description: long non-coding RNA (SMIL_LNC011409)
Source: RNAcentral
CUCUCUUUUUUCCUUUUUCUUUUUUUUUGCAAGUUUUCAAUUUUUGUUUUCUUUUCUUUAAUUUUUUUUUACAUUUAGAAUUUUUGUUUUUCCUAAAAUUUAUACAUUUAAAUUAAUUAAAAAAUUUAAUACACAUAUCAAAUUAAAUAUUAUGACAUGAGCUUUAAUUUAAUUUAUAAUAAUAUAUAAAAAAAAACUUUAAACUAAAAAGAAGAUAUUCAAAUUAAUUUUUUUAAAAUUAAUCUCUUUCUC